UGCAUAUGAAUCAAGUAAGAAAUAUGUUCUAACUUAAAGCUGAGUAUUAUAACACCACUAAUAUUUAGGCCAAAAACACCAUAUGUCACCAGAAACUGAGCAUUUGUUUAGGAAGAUAAUAAACACCCCCUCUCCGCCUUUAUCAACUAUGCGAGUCAUUUCUGAGUUUUUCCAUCUGCUUUCAGGCGUCAUCUCCGAACAUUGUGAAAUUGGACACCUAAGUUUCUUCCCAACCCGGCCGCCCCUUCCACUUAUUACUCCAGAAACUAACUAAAGCUCAUGUGCUGGUCGUACAGUGCACAUUUCAACGUGUCGAAUGGUUUUUGAGCAAGAAACUGACGGGGGAAAAGAACACAAACAAACAAACAAAACAAAACAACACGGACGGAGCUUCUAAAGUUUAGCCUGAAACAAAACAGGGCCACGGAAGGAUUUCGCGAGCGGGCGGGGCGGCGGGAAGUGUAAGAUAGGGAGGGGGGGUUUCCUCACACUGGAGGAAUGAUUAACUAAUAAGACGCAAUUAAUUGAACUCUGUGAAUUUAUCCGCUUCGAUGGAUUGUCACUUUUGGACCGUAAUGGCAGUUUAUGUGUCAAGAACAGCGCUGCGAUAAGGAGAGGUAAGGAACUAACUUCAAAUCAUCCGCCCCCUUAGAAAAACAGACUAUGGCAUGUGUGGUAUGGUCCUCAGAACUUUCUCUAGCUGCAUACUGAUUAUUUAUUAUUUAGGGAAAAUGCCUGUCGUUUGCUUGCCCAUCAAGUUUUAAACGUUUUUUUUUUUUAUCCUUUAAAAACAAACAAACAGUGAAACUAUCACUUUGUAAACUGUCACUGUAUGUUUGUGUGUGAGAGCACGAUCCCCAGUGUUACACUAAUACCCUAUUACUAAACUAUAGCCUAACUCUUAAAAGUUAGCCCUCUGUGUAUAUAUUUGGUAUGUUGUCUAUUAUAUCAAAAGCCUGAAUUGAAGAUGCAGAGCCAUUAAGAUGAUUACUGAUACAUGAAGUUUCAUUUAAGCACAAAUGGUUUGUCUCAAAUGACUUUGCCUCACUUACGAGGAGCACAUGGACGAGGAGGUGGACGGCAGUGGGAAGGAAGAACAGAAUGCUGAUGACCCUGCUCUUCCUUGUGCCAGCCUUGUGGCACAGAACCAGCCUCAGCACCACCAUGAGCUCUACACACAAGACCAGGACCUUCCCAUCAUGCACUGGGAGGAUUUGAGUUUGCGAAUAGCCGAGCUUGAGAAACAGGAGGAAGAGAGGAGGAAAAGAGCUGAGUCCAUGGGUUUAACAGACCAAGAACCAGUGCCAGGACCCUGGCCUCAUGUAAAGCACCAGUCACUUAACAGAAAGCAGUGGGAAGAUGCAGGUGAUCUUGGAGGACAUCGUUUUCCAUGCAUUACAUCUCGGUUUAACACUCCUAAAAACCUGCAGCUGUGUUUUAUCAACGAUAGUGAGAGCGAUCAAGAGGGUGAUGAAGGGGCAUCCUUCAGAGAGAGGCCACAUGAUUCACAGGGACAGGGGCGACAAUCUGCCGGCCUGAAACAGGAAGUCAGAGCAGCUCUGAAUGAGCUCCGAGAUAAGCUUUGGGCUGAGCAGGGGCAGCAACAGCAGCCGAGCCACAAGGACGUGAGCUUUAGGAGAAGAAAGCUUAGCCACAGUGACCUGCAAACCUGCUCUGUGCUUCAGCUAAAUGCUCUCAGGACUUCCCUCCAUGAAGACAUUCAGGAUCUGAGCUCAGAAUUAGUGAAGCAUCUGGUGGUGAGGGACAAUCUACGGACAAAGCAAGAUGCCAUGCUCCUGGAUGUACAGGAUAUGACAUCACUGUGACGCACAUCAAUCUAUAAUUAGCCUUUAUUAUAAAAUAGUCUGCCAUAUGAUAGGCCUUUUUGGAAUGAUGGACCUAUAUUACACCAGCAAUUUAUUGUCUAAUAUGUUUUUGUUUUCUACUUUACACUAACAAAGCCAUAUGAUCCUGUUUGUCUUGAUUCGCUUUUUUGUGCUCACACAAAUAUUGCUUACUAUGUGAAUGUAAUUAUUUUAGUCACAAGUUUUAUUGUGAGAAACUGUGCAUGUGUGAAAGAGUAGCUAAACAAGCAUGCUCUUCAUGUUUUCAACAUUUGUUUUACAUUACCAUCUGUAAAAACUGUGAAAGCUGCUAUUAAAUGUACGUGUGAUCAGUAACUGCUUCAUGGGAGUAAGAACUGCAUGUAAUAUAAUAUAGCAUCUGCUGAAUAUGGGGCUUCAUGUUGUAAAAACACUAACACAACCUUUAAGUAUUUUUCUUAAAAUUUGACAAUUAAUAUAACUGAAUAAAUUUGUAACGUUUACUUAACUCCUAAAUGCUUGGGUGUUUUGCCAGCCUUUGUCAUUUUUGAGAUACUAUACUAUCAGUGCUUUCAAAUGCAUUGAGCUACAUGUAACAAUAUUCACUGUUAACUACAUCCAUGGUUAUUUUGCCGAUUACAUAUCUAAGCGAAAUCACUUUUUUUCAGUUCAUUUAUUCUAAGUGGUCAUUUUGUUAACUGAAAAACAAAACAAAGAACGAAUGAGGAGGGAGUAGGUUAGAGGUCGCAAGCAACCAAUUGUAUGCAUUUAGGGUUAAUAUUUAAAGCAUAUGGCAUAUUCUUAUUUCUUCUGUUUCAAUAUCUGUUUCCAAAGGUCCAUCCAUCCAUUCAUCCAUCCAUAUUCUGUACCGCUUAUUCUACACAAGGUUGUGGGUGAGCCUGGAACCUAUCCCAGGGAACUCGGGGCACAAGGCAGGGGACACCCUGGAGGGGUGCCAUCCCAUCACAGGACACAAUCGCACACACAGACACACUACGGCCAAUUUGGAAAUGCAAAUCAGCCUACAACACAUGUCUUUGAACUGUGGGAGGAAGCUGGAGUACCCAGAGGAAACCUCCGAAGUACGGGGAGAACAUGUGGAGUGGAGGUGAGAGGUGCAAGCCAAACAUAAAACUUGCAUAAAGUGCAAGUUUUGUUAAUCAUGUAGCCUAUGCAAUGACACCCAGUGUACUAACAGUUGCAAACGUUUUUAUUUUUAUUAUUAUUAUUUAAAUUUUUGUAAUAACCUUUACCUUCCUUUUAAUUCAAGAACCUUUAAACAAGAAGGAACAUUAACCUUGCAUUCUUGGCAGGUGUCUGACUGAAGCUUUGCACUUGAAAAGUCAAGGAGAAACAUGCUCUAACUUACAAGCUCCUGAAGAUCCACUUGCUACCUCAUAGCAUGUCUACUGGAGUGAAUGUCAGUGUCUAAUAAACAUGAUCUCUCAGCCUUGCACCGCUUAGCUGCUCAGCCAAGCAAAGUAAAACAUGGUCUGAGAGAGUGAGAGCAAGAGAAAGAUCAGAAUAACAAGCAG
Molecule: long non-coding RNA, 3358 nt
Organism: Ictalurus punctatus (channel catfish)
Lineage: Eukaryota; Metazoa; Chordata; Actinopteri; Siluriformes; Ictaluridae
Source: Ensembl